Molecule: long non-coding RNA, 513 nt
Filed under: Vitis vinifera (wine grape)
Lineage: Eukaryota; Viridiplantae; Streptophyta; Magnoliopsida; Vitales; Vitaceae
Description: long non-coding RNA (VVIN_LNC005355)
Source: RNAcentral
GUGAGUUCCUGCUUGAUGAGUAUAUAACUAAGUUAUUAAGAUGUUAGAGUAACUUAAAAAAUUAUUUAUAGUUUAGAUAUUAAAGGGUUUAAAAAGUUUAUUAAUAGUUUAUAUACUGAAUUGAAUAAAAAAAUGGAGGUGUAGGAUGGAAAAACCUAUAUACAAUUGUUAAGUUAUUAUGCGCCUAUAUAUAAGGAAGUGAAUGGGUUAUAUUGUGAAGACGAUGGAUUUUUCAAAUCUAAAAUGUGAAUAGUAAUUUUAGAUUAUCCUCCAUUGAAAAAAGAACCUAUUAAUUAAAUAAGAAAUUAUAAUGGAAGAAAAUAAUAGUAUUUAAUAUGGGAAAAAUGAUUCAAAAUCCAAACCAUUAACUAAUAAUUUUUUUUUUCAUUUUUAGCACAGAUAUGAAAAUUAGAUUGGAAAAAUAUACAAUUGUUAGAUAUGGAAACAAAGAAAGAUAAAUGCAAAGCAAUUGGUCAUGCAUGAACAUGCAACAUGUCUAAUGCUCAUAUCGGU